AGGGGCAGCUCAACAUAAUUUAUGGCCUAAAGCGAAAUUUUUAUUAGAGGCCUAAAAUCUAUAUAAAUUUUAUCUAUAUCCAUUUAUUUUUCUAAAUUUCUAGAUGUAAAUUACUACUUAAUAUCUUUUAUAUAAAUGAUUUUUCAAACACUUUUGUUUUAAUUAUUAGUUUUAAGUAAGAUUUUAUCAAUUCAGCAUUGAAAAACAUCCUUUUAUUGAGACAAUUAUUAUAUGAAUUAUUAACACAAUUUUAUAAGUAAUAAGUUGAUAAACUUUAAAGAUAAGAGUUAGAAUCA
RNAcentral lists this long non-coding RNA (296 nucleotides) under Solanum tuberosum (potato). Its description in RNAcentral is "long non-coding RNA (STUB_LNC005792)". Lineage: Eukaryota; Viridiplantae; Streptophyta; Magnoliopsida; Solanales; Solanaceae. The record is from RNAcentral.